GCCUUUCUCUUCCCCUCCCCACCUCGUUCCCUGCCUCAUCCUCUUCUCUCCCACCAAUCUUUUUCCCCUCUCCAUCUCUUUCCCCAAGGUCGUCUUCGCCGCUUUCCACUCCCUUCUUCUUCCCCCCAACCCUCUUCCCUCCUCCCUCCCCAUCCUUUUCUUCCCUUCACCCCUUUUCCAGUCUUCUUCCCCACCUUCUGCUCUUUCCCUCCCCUCUCCUUCCCGACCCUUCUCCUUUCCCAACGUCUUCCCACCUUUUUCUCCCCUCUCCGUCUUCUCCCCUCCUUCUUCCCCACUGCGGUCUUCCCGCAUCCUCUUCUGCCGUCUCCCUACUGUCUUCUUCCCGCACCUUCUUCUCCCCCGCAGUUUUUUUUUCCCCUUCCCCACCGUUUUCUUCCCCUCAGUCUCUCCCAUUCCUCGCAGCACGGGUUCCUGUGGCGGCAGCUUUUCCUUCCAUCUCCUUCUCUCCACCCGCUGGCUUCCAGUCUCCACCUUCCCGCCUAUUCCCCCAGCAGCGUCUUCCCGCCGCUCCCUCUUCUCCCCUCCCCCUCCUCACCGUCUUCUCCCGGCCUAUUACCGCCAACCGUUUUCUUCCUCAUCCCGCACCCUUUUCUUCCCAUGUCUGCCUUAGUCUUCUUCCCACCCUCUUCUCCUCUCCCCAUCGCCUUCUUCCCACCCUCUUCUCCUCUCCCCAUCGCCUUCUUCCCACCCUCUUCUCCUCUCCCAAUCGUCUUCUUUCCCAGCCUCUUCUCCAUUUUCUUGCCGCCUCCAUAUCCCCACCUUCUUCUCGCAGCAGCGUCUUCCUGCCGCGCUUUUCUCUCCCCUCACCAUCUUCUCUUCCUCUUCCCCACCGUCCUCUCCCCACGCCCUCUUCUCCUCACUGUCUUCUCCCCGCGCCUUCCCCACAACCGUUUUCUCCCCCGUUUUCUUCCCCUCACACCGUUUUCUUCCCAUGUCCUCCCACCGUCUCGCAGCAGCGUCUGUCAGUCGCAAUCUUCUUCCCACUUUCUUCUCUCCCCCUCCCAUCGUCUUUUUUCCCCAGCCUCUUAUUCUCCGCCAUCUUCUUCCCCUCCCCACCUUCUCGCAGCAGCGACUUCCUGCCGCGUUUUUCUCUCCCCGCACCCUCUUCUCCCCUCUUCCACUCCCCACCGUCUUCGCCCCCGAUCGUCUUCUUGCCCACCCCCUUCUCGCGCUCUCCAACUGCCUUUCACCUAGAAGCGCUCCACGCGUGCGCCCGCCUGUGUCCCUGCGCCUGGUGUGUCUGUGCGCCCAGCCAGCCCCAUGAGCUGGGCCCCUGAGCUCCGCCCCAACAGCCAACAGGAGACCCAGGAGAGUCGCUGCCAGGGCCAUCACGGCUGCCGCCGCCCCCGCCCCCGCCGCUACCUCAGAACUGAACAGUGUUGGCUGCGGGCGAAAGGCAGUGGGGCCCGGAAGACUGCGGGGAGAGGGGGAGGAGGGGACGGAGAGGGUGGGAAAGACCUUGGAAAGUGGGAUGGGGAGAAAGGUGGGGAAGAAGACAGUGGGGAGAAAGUGCAGGGAGAAGACAGUGUGGUAGAGAAGACAGUGGAGGAAAACGGAAGGUCAUGGGAACAUACAGAGACCUACAGGGAAGACGGCCAUGGGACAAGGGAGGCAGAGUCUGGAGUUACGCUGCCUACAGUCACGGAAUGCCAAGGACAGCUGGAAACCACCAGAAGCUAAGAAGGAGAUUUUACCUGAAAGCCUCUCAAAGAAAUCAAUCAUACUCACACCUCCUUUUUGAAUUUCUGGCCUCGUGAAUGGUGAAAAAAUAAAUUUCUGUCGUCUUAAGCCCCACGG
Molecule: long non-coding RNA, 1818 nt
Filed under: Homo sapiens (human)
Lineage: Eukaryota; Metazoa; Chordata; Mammalia; Primates; Hominidae
Description: HSALNT0388887
Source: RNAcentral